UGCGUAGGCGGUUUGUUAAGUCAGAUGUGAAAGCCCCGGGCUUAACUUGGGAAUUGCAUUCGAUACUGGUGAGCUAGAGUAUGGGAGAGGAUGGUAGAAUUCCAGGUGUAGCGGUGAAAUGCGUAGAGAUCUGGAGGAAUACCGAUGGCGAAGGCAGCCAUCUGGCCUAAUACUGACGCUGAGGUACGAAAGCAUGGGGAGCAAACAGGAUUAGAUACCCUUGUA
Molecule: ribosomal RNA, 225 nt
Filed under: uncultured Acinetobacter sp.
Lineage: Bacteria; Pseudomonadati; Pseudomonadota; Gammaproteobacteria; Moraxellales; Moraxellaceae
Description: partial 16S ribosomal RNA
Rfam family: Bacterial small subunit ribosomal RNA
Source: RNAcentral